AAUCCACCAACCUGCAGUUGUAUGAAAAAGAAAUACUUAGGAGGUUAUUUCAUGUUUGCCUAACAGAUAGAUACUUGACAUUUGGCUCAUCCCACACCACCACCCCUCCAUUCUCUGCCUGUUCUAAGCCCCAGGGAGCUAACUUCCAUUGGCUCUAUCCACACACUGCUUUGCCCUUUGAUUUCUGAUUAGGUUCAGCCAUUAGGGAUCUGCAAUAGGAUAUGGGAGAAAUUAAGAUUGGAUUACUUUGGGACACCGGGGUGGCUCAGCGGUUGAGCAUCUGCCUUCAGCUCAGGGCGUGAUCCUGGGGUCCUGGGAUCGAGUCCCAUAUGGGCUCCCUGCAUGGAGCCUGCUUCUCCCUCUGCCUGUGUCUCUCAUGAAUAAAUAAAAUCUUUUUAAUAAACAAAAGAUUGGAAUACUUUCAGCAACUCCCUGUGCAGUUCAGGCGGGUGGUGGCUCUCAUCGGAAGGGCAUAGUGCCUUCUACAUGUUGUUCCUCUUUUUUUUUUUUUUUUUUUUAAUGAGAGAGAGAGAGAGAGAGAGGCAGAGACAUAGAGGGAGAAGCAGACUCCAUGCACCGGGAGCCCGAUGUGAGAUUCGAUCCCGGGUCUCCAGGAUCGCGCCCCGGGCCAAAGGCAGGCGCUAAACCGCUGUACCACCCAGGGAUCCCUACAUGUUGUUCCUCUUUAAGCACUGUCUCCCCAGCCCCCGUGGUCUUUUGCUAACAAUUGUGAUUUUCCAACCACCUGCCCACACCUUUAAAAACACCAUCUAUUAAAUUAUCUUCAAAGUGUGUGCUAUGUUUCCUGUCAUGACCCUAAUAUAACAAGUAUUUCCUAUUUCAAUAAAGUAUAAAACCUUACACUUACUUGAUGUUGCUCAAGCAAAGUUGUAAAAGUUGGCUUUUUUCAUUUGCUCAUCAAAGCCAGGAAGAGGUUCUUGAGUUAACAAGUACACCAAGGAACUUUAUUUUUGCCUCUCAGUAGAUAAACUUCUAAGGGCGAUACCCACGCACUCUGCCACCCCCAUAAUGGCCAACAUUGCCCAAGUACCUGCCUUGUAUCAGAAAGCCAAUGAAUGUAAUGUGUUCCUUAAGUGGAAGAAGGGAGAUUGGAAGGAAGUCCCUAGCAACCCCAUUCUAAACAGCUGAUUAUGGGAUAUGAAGUGCUAUGGACUGAAUGUUCAUAUCUCCCCCCUAAAUUCAUGUUGAAGGCCAAUCUCCAGUGUGAUAGUAUUUGGAGGCAGGGAUUCUGGGAGGUAAUUAGGACAUGAAGGUGGAGCCCUCACGAAUCAAUUAGCACUCUUAUAAAAGACCCCAGAAAAAAAAAAAAAAAAAAAGACCCCAGAAAGUUCCCUUGCCCCUUCUGCCAUGUGAGGACACAGCAAGGAGAUGGCUGGCUGUAAAGACAAGAAGUAGGCCUUCACUAGACAUGAAAUCUGCAGCACCUUAAUCCUGGAUUUUCGGGCCUCCAGAACUGUGAGAAAUAACUUUCUGUUGUAAGCCAUCUAGUCUAGUCUAUGGUGGUCUCUUCUAGCAGCCCAAAUGCAGUAGGAUAUGUAGGUGUCUGAUAAAUGAAAUUAGAAGAUGGCCUGAAGCAGAUAGAGCCAAAGCAAAGCAACAUAAUGGCUUGUACAGAGACCUCAGGUUCUUGGACCACCUUUCCUGAGUGAUGUUCCCCCGCCCCCCCCAGCCACUGACAAGCUAAUUCUUUCAGAAGAAAGUCCUUGGUACUGGACUUUCUUGGAGAUCCAAUUUGGGCUUCUGGCCUCCGGAACUACAAGGUAAUAAAUUUAUGCUGUUUUAAGUCACUAAUUUGUCCAACAACAGAAUAUGAACAUAUCUUGACUUUAAAGAUUUAUUUAUUUGUUUAUGAUAGACAUAGAAGCAGAGACACAGGAGGGAGAAGCAGGCUCCAUGCUGGGAGCCCAAUGUAGGGCUCGAUCCCGGGACUCCAGGACCACGCCCUGGGCCAAAGGCAGGCGCUAAACCGCUGAGCCACCCAGGGAUACCCGUGAUUGAGUGAUUCUUUUUUGUUAGGUUCCUCAGCGUCUUCCUAAGUGGAAUUUUACCAGUAUGUUGAGGACAAGGUUCCGAUAUUUAGCAGCCUGGAGUUAAGGGAAAUAGCUGAGACUCUGGCCCUCACUGAAAACAAAUUCUAGCAGUUACAAACAUAAGGUUUCAUUCCCAAAAUCAAAUAAAAAUUUUGUCAAUAUCUGAUGUUCUGGGUAAUGUAAACCCAUGCCCUGGGGGAGAGCAGGACCUGAAGCUGAUUCUAUUUGGAAACUUGGGUCUCCCUUGCCUUUCCCCCUAUGGAGCCCACACCUGGAGGUGUCCAGUCUAUACUGGUUUCAGUUUCUAUUCGCAGUAUCAACUGGACUUAAGAUCCCAUUUCCUGCCAUUAAGUGUGCGAUGAAACCCAAGUCCCUAUGACCACUUCAGGACAAGCCAGACACCAGGCCACCUCCCUCCCUAUUGCUCUGUUUCCCUCUUUUUGUUUCUGACUCCUGCUGGUUACCUUUUCUUGCAAAUUCAGACAUGACUUUACUCUUCUUCCUUUGCUUGCUUUUUUCUUGUAAUAUUUUACACAGGAUUUUGGGGGUGUUUAUGCUAGAAGGGGCUCCCUAUUAGUAAAAUCUGUCAUGUUGGAACCAGAAGUGUUUCCACACUGAACACAAAGGGCACAUUUUAUGAUUUUCCUAAAAUACAUAGACUGCCCCAAUGGUGAAUUAAAUUCUGUAAAAAUAGGUGUGGGCUGCUUAAAACAGUUUUCCCAGCGCUUCUAUUAACAUUUCAAAUUUAGGCCCACUCAGGUAGAAGAUUAACUUGGAGAAGACAACUGAGAGCUAUUGAGUUGCACAAGAGGGGUCUGUCACCAGAGGGAAGAACUGGACUUGCUCCCAUGCUCCUGAGAGCAUACUGGAGCAGCAGAACAAAUGCUGGCUAUGAGAGAGACAACUUCCCCCAGAAAACACCAGCUUGGGAGGAGCUCUCCAUCCCUGACGUCCCCGUCAGGCAAGCAAGACCAUCGAAAGUAUCAGGACCACCUGUUCAUACUGUUAACCGGCAGAACAAUCCUGUCUCAGCAACUCAUGUUGGUUGGUUCCUACAUCCUGCUAGCUCAGAUUCCACUUGUCUGUCUGAAUCACUGUCUGCAAGAUGCAUUUGUAAUUGAGAAGCCAUGUGUUUGUGUAGUUUCAUCACUUUCUUGUAAUCCGAAUACCUAAAAUAAACCUUUUGGAAAAU
RNAcentral lists this long non-coding RNA (3243 nucleotides) under Canis lupus familiaris (dog). Its description in RNAcentral is "lncRNA (ENSCAFG00000051386.1)". Lineage: Eukaryota; Metazoa; Chordata; Mammalia; Carnivora; Canidae. The record is from RNAcentral.